UGGGUUUUAUUUAGAUUAGAGAACUGUUACAGUUUGAAACGAUUUUAGUUUUAUAUUCCUGAAUAAUCUGAACGCAUUACAGCAAAAAACGUUCAAUUUUGUGUGCUUCUUACAAAAAAAAAGUUGUAUUUAUUUGUGACGUGUGAAAAAUUGAAGAAUAUAAUAAAAGUAAGACAUGUGGCCCAAGAGUCCGCGCAUCCGUAGGAACGAGCUGCUCGCCAAGCAGAACGAUGAUUCGCCCCGCUCCAAGAAGAAUUCCCCCCGGGCACCCUACAAUGUCGGAUCUGUGCUGAAGAAGCGUCGCCCCCAAAGCUAUAGCCAGCGCAUGCAGAAGAAGCUGCAGGGCAUCGAGAGCAAGGAAAAUGUCCAGAUCUUAAAAAUACCCAAGGCUGUGCUGCUCACACCUUCCUCCUCGGAAAUCUCACUCACCACAAGCAUGUCCAGAGCGGGUGUGCCUACCUAUACAGUGCAGCCAAAGCUGGAGAAGACUGCGGAGGCGGAGGCGCAGCCUGCUGCACUGCCUCCGUACCUGACACUCAAGCGGCAACAAACGGCGGCAAUGCUGAACUUUCGAGCACGCAAAUCUGUGUCCCAAAUGGAUUUUAAGGAGGCUCGGCGUACCGGCAACUAUCAGCUGGUGGCUCAUGUGCCCAACUCGAACGCCCUGGUGCCGGCUGCCCAACACCCAGAGGGCCGUAAGCUGACCAUCAAGGACGACAGCCUUACUCAGCUGUUGAUGCAGGACGCGGCCCAGCUGUGCGGCACUCGGGAGGGUAAUGUGCGCUUUGUGGUCAACGGAGAUCAGGAUGUGCGCAUUGCCAGUCUGCGCAUCUUCAAUACUAUCAUGUUGCGCUCCUGGCGCCGCCGUCGCGAGGAAGUGCGUCAUCUUAGCGAACAGGUUGAGGACUAUAAGCGCAGCUUUGUAAAGAGUCGAAAUCAGCUGCAUGUCUACAACACGCUUUUUGCUGUGGAGAAGCGUCGCAACGAUACUCUGAACGAUCAGCUGAAGCAAUCCUACAUGGACAGUGCCAAGACAAAGCUGUCUUACAAUGAGCUCAACAUUCUGCUGAGCCAAACCAACCAGGAGAAGCAGCAGUUGGCGCAGGAGAACGCCUACAAGACGCAGGAAAUUGAGAAUCUGCAGGAGCUGCUGCAGGCGACCAAAAAGGAACUCUUUCAGGCGAAUACGCUGCAGCGGGAGCAGCUCGAGCAGCUAGCACGCGUUCAGCUCGAGUGCCAGGCUGCCAAGUUCGACAUCGAGGAGCUGACGUCUCAGUUGCAUUCCCUGAGAUCAGAAUUGGCCGAAAAGCAAGAAUACGUGGAGAAAUUGCGUGAAAAUAUUGCCCGCAUUGCCGAGGAGCUGCAGCUGUCCCGCACAAGCCUGGUUGAGCACAAGUGCGAAAAGGAGCUACAAAUCAGUAAACUGAUGAAGCUCUCCGAGGAGCUGGAGAAAGAUAUCAAGCUGAAGGACGAGCAGCUGCUCACGCUGCAGAACUGCCUCGCCGCCACGGUGGGUCAGCGCAUCCGCCAGUGCUUCGCCCAGAGCCAGGCCUAUCAACAUGCCACCUAUCGCCUCAUGCACUUUGUCGCCUACUGCAUGCUACCCGGCACGCCCCCGCCAGCUCUGCCCAUGUCAUCUCUGCCAUGUGCCGUCAAAAAGCUGCGUGGACUUUUCCAUGGCGGCGCCGGUGGCGCCGACGGAGCCGAGGAUAGCCGGAUAACUUGAAUAUUUUCUAAUAGUCUAUACGAUUAAUACAUCAUAGAGCUUGCCAAGUCUUUGGUUUGGGUCGAGCAUACUUAAAUAGUUGCAUCCGCCAAAACACACCUGAUAAAAAAACCACAGGGACAAACGAGACAAACUGGACAGGUGAGAACGGGACAAGUAAACCAGCACCACAAAAGACAAAGCCCGCAACCAGGUAAGUGAAAAAUUCUAUAAAACUUACUCCCAUCCUGGGGUUCAAGCUGAUGCUGCUGUUUUUGCUGCUGCUGGAGCAGCAGGUGCAUGGGAUCGCCGCCAGUCUUUUGACGUUUCCGCCUCAGGUGUGCUGGAUCUAUAAAAAAGAGUUUACAAAGGGGACAAAUUGUUGGACAAGUCUUGACUCGGCUUAGAUUACUUAGACGAAUCUAUUAAAUACAAAAUCGGGCGCACUUUUCCGGCGCCCGCUCAAAACAAAUUCGCGCAACGAUUUUCCCUUUCCCUUUGGGGAAAACGCGCUGCUGCACAAAUCAAAUUUCGUUCGGGUAGUUGAGACUACGACUACCGCUUACAAAAUGGGGGGGUUUCGGUUCAAUAAAUCUAAAACAAAUACAA
This is an RNA transcript of Drosophila virilis, 2314 nucleotides long. It is a transcript of the gene named CAP-Gly domain-containing linker protein 1, with no coding region annotated. Lineage: Eukaryota; Metazoa; Arthropoda; Insecta; Diptera; Drosophilidae. The record is from RefSeq and is a predicted model, not a curated record.